GACGAACGCUGGCGGCGUGCCUAAUACAUGCAAGUUGAGCGCUGAAGGUUGGUACUUGUCCCCACUGGAUGAGCAGCGAACGGGUGAGUAACGCGUGGGGAAUCUGCCUUUGAGCGGGGGACAACAUUUGGAAACGAAUGCUAAUACCGCAUAAAAACUUUAAACACAAGUUUUAAGUUUGAAAGAUGCAAUUGCAUCACUCAAAGAUGAUCCCGCGUUGUAUUAGCUAGUUGGUGAGGUAAAGGCUCACCAAGGCGAUGAUACAUAGCCGACCUGAGAGGGUGAGUGGCCAACAUGGGACGGGGACACGGCCCAAACUCCUACGGGAGGCAGCAGGAGGGAAUCGUCGGCAAUGGACGAAAGUCUGACCGAGCAACGCCGCGUGAGUGAAGAAGGUUUUCGGAUCGUAAAACUCUGUUGGUAGAGAAGAACGUUGGUGAGAGUGGAAAGCUCAGCAAGUGACGGUAACUACCCAGAAAGGGACGGCUAACUACGUG
RNAcentral lists this ribosomal RNA (497 nucleotides) under uncultured bacterium. Its description in RNAcentral is "partial 16S ribosomal RNA". It matches the Rfam family "Bacterial small subunit ribosomal RNA", at positions 28 to 507 of the family's 1533-position model. The record is from RNAcentral.